AUGCCAAUCAAAAUCCCAACGGCAUUUCUUGUAGAAAUAGAUAAAGCAAUCAUGAAAUUCAUAUGGAAAAACAAAAGACCCAGAAUAGCAAAAGCAAUUCUAAGCAGGAAGUGUGAAUCUGGAGGUAUAGCGAUACCAGAGUUCAAACUGUACUACAAAGCAAUAGUAACAAAAACAGCAUGGUACUGGUACCAAAACAGGCAGGUGGACCAAUGGUACAGAAUAGAGGACACAGAAACCAAUCCACAAAAUUACAACUUUCUUAUAUUUGAUAAAGGGGCUAAAAGCAUGCAAUGGAGGAAGGAUAGCAUCUUCAACAAAUGGUGCUGGGAAAAUUGGAAAUCCAUAUGCAACAAAAUGAAACUGAAUCCCUUUCUCUCGCCAUGCACAAAAGUUAACUCAAAAUGGAUCAAGGACCUAGAUAUCAAAUCAGAGACACUGCGUCUGAUAGAAGAAAAAGUUGGCUACGAUCUACAUACUGUAGGGUCGGGCUCCAGAUUCCUUAAUAGGACGCCCAUAGCCCAACAGUUAAUAACAAGAAUAAACAAAUGGGACUUACUUAAACUAAAUAUUGUUUCUCUUGCUGAGAAAAAACUAAGAGAGGUAAAUAGAGAGCCUACAUCCUGGGAACAAAUUUUUACCCCUCACACUUCAGAUAGAGCCCUAAUAUCCAGAAUAUACAAAGAACUCAAAAAAUUAAACAAUAAGAUAACAAAUAACCCAAUCAACAAAUGGGCCAAGGACCUGAACAGACACUUCACAGAGGAGGACAUAGAAUCAAUCAACAAGUACAUGAAAAAAUGCUCACCAUCUCUAGCAGUCAGAGAAAUGCAAAUCAAAACCACCCUAAGAUACCAUCUCACUCCAGUAAGAUUGGCAGCCAUUAUGAAGUCAAACAACAAUAAGUGUUGGCGAGGAUGUGGGGAAAAGGGUACACUUGUACACUGCUGGUGGGGCUGCAAAUUGGUGAGGCCAAUUUGGAAAGCAGUAUGGAGAUUCCUGGGAAAGCUGAGAAUGGAUCCACCAUUUGACCCAGCUAUCGCCCUUCUCGGACUAUUCCCUGAGGAUCUUAAAAGAGCGUACGAUAGGGAUACUGCCACAUCAAUGAUCAUAGCGGCACAAUUCACAAUAGCUAGACUGCGGAACCAACCUAGAUGCCCUUCAAUAGAUGAAUGGAUAAAAAAAAUGUGGCAUCUAUACACAAUGGAGUAUUACGCAGCACUAAAAAAUGACAAAAUCAUAGAAUUUGCAGGGAAAUGGAUGGCAUUAGAGCAGAUUAUGCUAGGUGAAGCUAGCCAAUCCCUAAAAAACAAAUGCCAAAUGUCUUCUUUGAUAUAAAGAGAGCAACUAAGAACAGAACAGGGAGGAAGAGCAUGAGGAAAAGAUUAACAUUAAACAAAGACGAGUGGGGGGAGAGAAAGGGAGAGAGAAGGGAAAGCAUAUGGAAAUGGUAGGAGACCCUCAAUGUUAC
Molecule: long non-coding RNA, 1471 nt
Filed under: Marmota monax (woodchuck)
Lineage: Eukaryota; Metazoa; Chordata; Mammalia; Rodentia; Sciuridae
Source: RNAcentral